CGUCUAUGACGCACGUCGCGCUGGCAUUGUUCACGGACGUUUGGUCGCUGGUAAUUAAUCUUUUUCAUGAAGAAUUCGACUAGGCGUUUUGCGACCCCACGAGUGGCAGGAGGUUAGGUGUAGCAUCGAGGGCUCGUCGCUUCCUUGAUUUCCGUGAGCUUCCGAGUGGCAGGCGGACGCGUGAGCAGGUUCGACGUUAUGUUUCUCACUGUGUAUACCGUAGCCCCGCUAGCGAGAGGUGCGUGGGGGCCAAAGAAUUCAGAACUUCUGAAUUCUUUGGUGGAGACGCGAAGAGUCGUAAAAGGGAGCGAGGGAAGCAUCGCGAGGUGGUAUUCGCACGAGAGGGGCCCAGUUUAGCGAGGGAUUUCGGUUAGUCACGCUCUCUGUCUCUGUCUCGAAGCUUAGGCUCGCCUCCAAGGUUCACUUUGACUGCACGAAUUCAAGCAUGGUGAUGAUCGGAGACCCAAGCGUAAGCACAUAUACCUUUUAUAUAUGCACGAUCAUGAUUAAAUGUCUAGUUUUUGUACCUAGUAUGACAUACUAAUACUCCCGCUGAUAAGUCCGAGUCAAUCUUUUUUUCCCUGGGUACUCCCUUGACGCUUUGACUGCCGUGUCGCCCACGUUCGGGCGACAGGGCGGUCAAAGCGUUAACGAUAAGAUGUGCGUAGCGUAGCGACGUCCGACAUGUAACGUAACCUGUAAAGUGUGCUAGAAAGAGGGGGAUAUUACGAGUGCCGGUAGGUACUCGACGCGCAACCACGUCAGUUCUUGUAUCACAUUUUGUGUAACUCUCGAUGUAGCAUCGACCCUAGGGGAUUGUAGCACCGAAUUCUAAAUAUACUAACAUUUACCUCA
Orussus abietinus is the source of this 855-nucleotide long non-coding RNA. RefSeq lists it as uncharacterized. The transcript is spliced from 2 exons. The record is from RefSeq and is a predicted model, not a curated record. NCBI's taxonomy places the organism in Eukaryota, Metazoa, Arthropoda, Insecta, Hymenoptera, Orussidae.